UCCCCUCUCACAGAGCGCUUCCGGCCAGGGCCCCGCUUGGGCGGCAGUUCCGGGCAUGGCCGGCCUGUCAGACGCGGAGCUCGGCAGGGAGCUGCGGGCCUUGGGCUUCCAGCCGGGGCCUAUCACCAACUCCACCCGCGAGCUCUACGUGAAGAAGCUGAGCCGGCUGCGGGCGGAGGGGGCGCCUAGGCCCCAGUCGGGGAAGACAGCAGCCCCCAGCAUGGCCGGCCUGUCAGACGCCGAGCUCGGCAGGGAGCUGCGGGCCUUGGGCUUCCAGCCGGGGCCAAUCACCGACUCCACCCGCGAGCUCUACGUGAAGAAGCUGAGCCGCCUGCGGGCGGAGGGGGCGGCCGGCCGGAGGAGCCAGAGCACAGGCAGUGCCUCCAGGCCUGAGCCGGCCUCGGCCUCCUACCCUCGCCGCAACCCCAGCCCCCUGGCACACAGGGCCCACAGCCAGGGCCGUAGGGAGAGUGAGGAGGAGGAGGAGGAGGGCUCGGAGGAGGAAGAUGAUGGGUACCAGCCCCCCCGCAGGGAUGUAGCAGAGGGGCUAAACCCUUGGGCCCAGCUGGGGAAGACAGCAGCCCCCGGGAGGCUUGCCCCCAGCACUCAGUGGGGGACAGAAAGGGGGUUCAACCCCAGCUCCCAGUGCGGGACAAGAGAUGUAAGGUUAGCCCCCAGGCCCCAGUGGGAGGCAGAAAGGGAGUUAGCCCCCAGGCCCCAGUGGGAGGCAGAAAGGGAGUUAGCCCCCAGGCCCCAGUGGGAGGCAGAAAGGGAGUUAGCCCCCAGGCCCCAGUGGAGGACAAGGGAUGUGGGGUUAACCCCCAGCACCCAGGGAAGGACGAGGGAUGUGGGGUUAACCCCCAGCACCCAGGGGAGGACGAGAGAUGUGGGGUUAACCCCCAGCACCCAGUGGGGGACGAGAGAUGUUGGUUUAACCCCCAGCACCCAAUGGGAGACAGAAAGGAGGCUAACCCCCAGCACCCAGAGGAGGACAAGAGAUGGGUGGUUAACCCCCAGCACCCAGAGUGGGACAAGAGAUGGCGGGUUAACCCCCAGCACCCAGUGGUGGACAAGAGAUGGCGGGUUAACCCCCAGCACCCAGGGCAGGACAGCAACAGUAGUAGGGGGAUUAAUCCGCAGGAUUCCAUGGAGGACAGGGGGAGAAGGGUUAACCUCCACGAGUCAGUUGACAGGGGCAGCCCCCAAGCAGGGUGCAGUAGGAAAGGGUAAGGGUCUGGAGUUCUACCUGUCCUGGUUCCUGUACCUGGCCACCCUGGUGUUGUUGGUGAUUUUCCUGGGCAUCCUCUGGGCGAAGAUGAUCGGGCCAGGCUGGCUUCUGGGGGCAGAGGAGAACCUUAAACUGUUAACUGUGGAUUGUGAGACAAGGACAGAUGAUUUCUGUCAAGCUAAACAGAAGGACAUGUUAAUGACCAUGCUGUAUGAAUUAUAUAACUACCUGGCAAUACAAGCUGGUAGUUUUGAGUGUGGAAACCCCGAGAAGCUAAAAAGUAAAUGCAUUCUGGUUAGUGAAGCAAAGGAUUAUGUGGCGAAUGUAACCGGUAAUUCCCCAGAGAAGUUUGAAGCUGCCCUGCAAUGGAUACUGAACAGUAACAAUGAUUUAGGGAUAUGGUUAAAAGGGGAAGACCCAUCAGAACCGGUUACCAGUGUAGACCAGGUGGUGUGCCUUGAAUCCACCCGUCCUCGGAUGGGGUUAGGCUGUCGUUUCCGCCGGGCAAUAAGCACCGCCAUUAUGAACCUUUUCAUCUUCUUCUGGAGUCUGAUUGUCCUCUGGGGGAUCCUGUUACUCCUGAAGUAUCGCUGGCGGAAGAUGGAGGAAGAGGAGCAGGCCAUGUAUGAAAUGGUGAAGAAAAUCAUAGAUGCUGUCCAGGAUCACUACAAAGAGUGGGAACAGAGGUUGGAGCGAUACCCAUAUGUAGGCAUCCUUCACGUUCGAGACACCCUCAUUCCACCCCAAAGCAGGAAAAAAAUGAAGCGGAUCUGGAACAGAGCUGUGGACUUCCUGGCUUCGAACGAAUCACGGAUUCAGACAGAGUCACACAGGAUAGCAGGAGAGGAUAUGCUGGUGUGGAGAUGGACUCAGCCCUCUUACGUCUCCGAUUCAGAGCACUAACCAGGAGCAAAGGAGGAGCUGUUGGUUCAGUCUGUGCAAAGGGACAAUUCCCUCUUUGGAUGUGGGAAGGGAUGGACAGGAGUUCUAACUUUCUCAGUUUAGAAUCACCCCAACCCCCUUUCCCCUCUAUUUCUGAGAGACACUUAACAGAUUAUUUUUAGGGCAAUAAUCUUGGUUUGUGAGAAGAUGGACUUGAGCUAGAGAAGGAGCCAGAAGCACACCAAAGCUACCUGUCCAUAGUCAAGUUCCAGGAUCCCGGUGUGCUAGGCGCUGUACAAACACAGACCAAAAAGACGGUCCCUGCCCCAAAACGCCUACUGUCGAAGUAUAAGACGAGCCAACAGGCAAGCGCAAGGAACCAGUGAGAUGCUACUGGUCAGCAUGAUAGUCAGUGGUCUUAGCACACCAGAAGCCUAGCUGUUGUCAGGUUCUUGGUAGGCAGGUGAGACUGAUUUCUGUGGGGAAAUGAUGAUGAUAUCCAUGAAAGGUGUAGACUGAGAAGGAUUAAUCCUAUGUGGACACUUGUGUAAAAGGUGUUGACAGCUUUAUGUAUAAUGAAAUAUUACCAACAUUAACUUCUAACAGCCGAUUGACCAACACUUGGCCACAACACCAGAGGUUAAAGCUGCAGACGUGGGAGCAAGGAGAUAGGUAAUAUGUUUAAAAGUGAUUUAUUGGUUUUGGGUGCCAUGCAUUUAGGAACCCACUCUCUGAAAGCCAGAUCCCUUUAAUGCAGUUCAGGUUGGGCAGCCAUAAUCAUUAUACACUUCUGAAAAUCGUGGGCCUGGGUUCUAUUCCAAUCUGUCACUGACUCACGGUGAUGCCUUGGACAAGUCACUUAAUUGAGUAGGACGACACCUGCCUUUCCAAAGUGCCAUGAGAUCUUCAGAUGAAAAGUGCUAUAUAAAUGCCAAGAGCUAUUGUAGGAAAAACUGGGAAGCAGGUGUGUUGCUUAGUGGAUAGGGUACUGGACUGGGACUUGGGAGAUCUGAAUUCUGUUCCCAGCACUGGCCUGCUGGGAGACCAUGGGCAAGUCACUUCCCCUCUCUGCACUUCUGUUUCUCCAUUUUACAGUUGGGAUAAUGAUACUGACCUCCUUUGUAAAGCAGUUUGAGACCUACUGUUGAAAUGGCUGUAUGAGUGGCAUAAAGUCCCAUACAUGCAAUUCCCUGGGUUAGUGACAGCAUCAGAAGGACGCAGUUGGCCAAUCAGAGCUUUGGAGACCCAAGGUCAAACCCUCCAUUGACGUUAACCCACGCCACCCUGGGUGGGUGGGUAAGUGCCACAACUGGCACCCGACAGCCCUACUGUUACUGGGCUCAGCAGAGGAGGCAAGACUGGCUGGGCCAUGGAGGUUGAACUCCCCUCUCACUCCAGCUCCGGGACAAAGUGCACUGGCAGCAUGGGCCUUGCCGGCACAACCCUUGCUUUUCCCAUCCUGUAGGUAAAUAGAGGCUCUCCUGAUCGUUCUCUCUGUGACAGGGAUAUGCACGGCUCUACACAGGCAAAUGAAACAUCAGCAUCCGUGGGUGUCAAAUCAGCACCACCCCCAGCCCUACAUUCCCACCUAAGAAGAAAAGACUUGUUCUCAGCCAGGUGUCAGAUGACCACAUGGGAGUUCCGCAGUCCUGCUGUCAAAGUGCUCUCAAGUGGCCUGCCUAGUGCCUAAGAUAUACUCUACCAGCUGAGUGGAACAGGGGGAUCAUCUGUGCAUCGACAUUGAACAGCCAGGCACAUUCUGAAAACUUUUGAGUUUCACACCGAAAGCUGAGCCUCGAGACGUCUGCAUGUGAAAGAGAAAAGGAGCAGGCACCACAGAUUGGCGCCAGGGGCGUUAGCUCAUAAAUCACUCUGUCUGCAUCAUUCCUAAGGAUCAUUCUAUGGGGCUCAUGCCUCCUGGUCUCCAGACUCUAUGGAAAUGCCAAGUGCUGGCCAUCAUUGUACUUCCCCAUGCAUGGCAAAUUCAGCAGGAAUAUAAAUAGCCCAGCCUGAAUUGCAUCCCUUUACAAGAAGUAAGGGUAUUGAGAAUAAAAGUCAGAGUGGAGUAUUUGAACACCUUUGUGCUACUCAACAGGGAGGGACUCACUAAAGGAAGCUCCACCUUCUGGUGGUGACUGCGAAAAGCAGGCACAUCCUUGCAGGAAAAAAGAAGAAUUCCAAGGGGGAGACAUGCCAGUUGGUUUUCUCCUGCAUGAAACUUGCUGCAGUGGGAAACUGCGUAGUAUCAGAUGCUCCGGGGAAACAAAAUAGUAUCACACGCUCCUGAAUUUCCUUGUGCAGACAACUCCCCGUGCAAAGAACGUUCUUGCUGCAGACAACCUGAGCAAUCUGAUGUUUCCUGCUGUACCAAGCGCUUUAAGCAAGAGCCAGUGACAAAGGCACUGUGCCUAUCCUAACAAACUGCGGCCUGUGAUUCACUCCCGGUGCAGCUCUGACGGCGGAAGUGGCAAUGUAGGAUAGGGCUUCUGAUGUUGCUGCUGCUAAUGCAACUGCCACUGGUGGGGAGUUACAGGUCUGGAAUUUUCUUCUGGAGACAAGAUCAAAGUCAGAGCUGACUGCUGCCUCUGUUCACUUCCAGUAGGUGCUGAGCCUGGGAGAUAGGCCAGGGGCGUAGGCAAUGCACUUUUUCCUAUUGUGGGGCUCCCCAGGGCUGGUUCAGGCCCUGGCCCAGAUUAGAGCAGCUCUGAGGGAUGCCUUAACUUGCACCCUAGCUGCAAUUGCCCCCUGCACCGAGGGCUCCUACAGCAGGGUCCUAUCGUGCCUGGAGGGCACUGACCCCUGCCAUACACUGCUGGGGGGGCUUCCAGCUUCCCCUUUACACUACCAAGCUGGCACAAAGGUGUCGCAGGGCAAGAGCCACCACCCCCCAUUCUCCCCAAAGCUUGUUUCAACUGCUGCCUCUGUCCCUAGUAGUGGGUUAGGGAUGCAGGGCCUCACCAUUUGUGGGUGCUGGUUUGCUGUGUGUGUGACUAAAGACUAGCAAGCAGGCAGCUCUUCCUUUUGCACAACCUGCCCCUGCCUCUCAGGCGUGACUUCCUUUCAGUGUGAUUUCCAUCUCCAGCUAGCGUGGGACCGUCUCUACCUAGCCUAGCCCUGGCACUUUUUUUCCCCCCCAGCUGAGUCUGGAUUUUUCCAUCUACUCUUUCGCCCCGUCCCCAAAUGGCUGAGCCAUGGAUCAUUCAUGUAUUUUCAGCCCAGCUCUAUGAGUGAGAUAAAAUUAGCCCUUUAAUCUGAGGAGACAGAGCCGCUGCAGUUCACACCGGGGCAGGACACCAGCGUUAGCCGGUGUUUAGAUAACCUAGAAAAGCAGGAUUACACGAAGCAGGAGGGCAUCCAUUCCUCAUCCCCCUCCCUCCACAUAUGUAUCUUGCUUAGCGCUGUGCAUCAGGCUUGCAUUUUAUUAAUAACUAAAGCAACCUAGAGCCGGCCCGCACGUUAAGUAAAGGCUGGGAAAUGAAUUUCACUGUCACCCUGGGAGAGAAUAAGAUUUCAAUUAUGUUCUGGCACAGCAUGGAGAGACUUGCUCAGCUAGGCUGCUGGCAUGGCUGCAGCCUCACACAUUUAAAGGGACACAGGCA
RNA transcript from Trachemys scripta elegans, 5709 nucleotides. It is a transcript of the gene named LEM domain nuclear envelope protein 2, with no coding region annotated. The transcript is spliced from 11 exons. The record is from RefSeq and is a predicted model, not a curated record. NCBI's taxonomy places the organism in Eukaryota, Metazoa, Chordata, Testudines, Emydidae.